Picea glauca (white spruce) is the source of this 121-nucleotide non-coding RNA. The record is from Rfam. Lineage: Eukaryota; Viridiplantae; Streptophyta; Pinopsida; Pinales; Pinaceae.
ACAUGCCUACAACAUAGCGUUAAUGCAACGGAUCCCAUUAGAAAUCUGUAGUUAAGUGCACUUGGGCUAGAGUAGUACUGGGAUGGGUGACCACCUGGGAAGUACUAGUAUUUUACAUGCC